CAACAAAGGGGAAACCAUGAGUGAGCAGGCAGGUUAUCUAUGAAGAAAUGUCUGUCUUGCUGGAUGAGGGGAAAGCACAAGAUAUGUCUACCCAGAAUUCACUGUCCAGAAGAACCUCAACAAGCUAGGGAAAGGGGCUGACAGGGAUUUCAUUCAACUUGUACUCAACAAGGAAUGCAGUGUCCUACAUUUGGAACAGCAAAUCUCCAGGCACAAGAACAGGAAAGGCAACCAGAGGGAAAGCACCUUUGCAGAAAAGGAUCUGAUCAAAGGGUCCUCAUGGACACCACUUGAAUCUCCACAGCACAAGAGGCACAUGGAGCUACUGGAGGAACUCCUGCAAAGGGUCAAGUAAAGGGAUGAAGGGGCGAGGGCACCUCUCCUAUGAGAAGAGAUGUGUGACUGCUUAACCUGGAGAAAAGAAGGCUCACAGGGAUGUGUGUACAUGUACCUGAAGAGGGGUUUGAAAGAACACAGAGCCAGGCUCUUAGUGGUGCCGAGACAGGCAAUAGGUUCUGGGUGGCCUUGCAGGCUGUUUAGACAAAAUGAGCUAUGGAAGACCUUUCCAACCUCAAACAUUCUCUGAUUCUGUGAAGGAAUCUAGGCUAUUUUAGGAGGCUGACAUGACAUGAAACCUACUUGAGGCAUGUGUUCUUCUGAAAUGAAAAACCGGAUACCAUGCAAUGCUUGAAGUUUUUCUCCAGUUUAUUUUACUGGAAAGAUUA
Passer domesticus (house sparrow) is the source of this 725-nucleotide long non-coding RNA. RefSeq lists it as uncharacterized. The record is from RefSeq and is a predicted model, not a curated record. The transcript has 3 exons. NCBI's taxonomy places the organism in Eukaryota, Metazoa, Chordata, Aves, Passeriformes, Passeridae.